UUGGCUGCCAUAUCACACUUUUUGACUCUUGUGAGUCCACUCAGAAUCCCAGAUGUUGUUCAGACAAAUUGCUCACUCUGACUACCUUUUUCUAUAUUUGUGAAAUUGAAUUUUUCAGUCCUUUCAGUUUUCAGACUUUACAUUUAUUCUUUUUCGAUUUCUCCUUAGUAGAUUUGCCUUAGUACUGUAACCUGAGAUCUUUUUCCUUCUUCUUCAUUAUCCAGAAGAGGAAACCAAAGUCCAGAGAGGUAGCAAUUAUUUUUUCUCUUUUUUGAUUUUGUCUUUAGUCCAGUCUGUGAACAUGAAGACAAAUGAUUUCUGUGGACAUAUGGGAUGCAGAUGGCCAGUUGGAAGGUGCCGUGGACAUAUAGCAUGUGACCAAAAGGUGAAGGGCCACCUAUUCAAAGGCCUGGUCCUACCACAUGUUACACGAUUUUGCUUGGUGUUAUUUGACCUGGCCCCAAAGCCUGCAAUUUGAUGCUGCCCUAGCUGCCCCCCACAGGUUGAGAGACAAGAGGGCACUCUUCUGACAUGUGCCUCCUCUUCUCGACACAUGUUCGCCAAACCAUCACUUAACCUUUCUGGCCGUUCAUUUGUUAGCAGAUUUUCAGCAGGCCUCAGAAGGGCCUAAGAUCUCUUACAAGCCUAUACUAUUCUGGGGCCAAUUUCACUUUAAGGACCUUUCCACCUGGAGCAGACAGCCUGAGGAAUGCCAGAAAAAGCCAGCCACUAGAGGCCAAUAACAAGCACAGGAGGAUGCUGGGGAUUGGAAUAGUGAGCAACGAGGAAUGCAGCUUCCCUGACUGAUCUGCAUGCUCAUUAGCUCACCCCAAGGAAGAAAAUUGGGAAGGGAAGGCUGGAGCAAUAAUGACGACAGCUCACAUCCAUAUUGCUUUAAAGUUUGCAAAGCACCGGAUGUACACAACAGCACUGUGAGGUAAGGGUCACAUACAUUAUUAUCCCCAGUUUACAGAUUUGGAAACUGAGGCAUACAAAAGUUGAUGACAAGCUAAGGGUUACACAGCUGGUAUACAUUAAAGACUGC
Molecule: long non-coding RNA, 1045 nt
Filed under: Sarcophilus harrisii (Tasmanian devil)
Lineage: Eukaryota; Metazoa; Chordata; Mammalia; Dasyuromorphia; Dasyuridae
Description: lncRNA (ENSSHAG00000032306.1)
Source: RNAcentral